RNAcentral lists this long non-coding RNA (1002 nucleotides) under Zonotrichia albicollis (white-throated sparrow). RNAcentral's name for it is "lncRNA (ENSZALG00000001382.1)". The record is from RNAcentral. Lineage: Eukaryota; Metazoa; Chordata; Aves; Passeriformes; Passerellidae.
AUGGAAUGGGACACAGCGAAUGGCAUGGCGUGGCACGGCGUGGCACCCAGGGAAUGGCACGGCGUGGCACAGCCAGUGGGGACAGGGGACAGCCAUAACACCAUCCCUGCCUUGCCACCCUCCACGAGCAGUGGCACAAAUGUGUCACCCUCCCCCGUGUCCCCAGUGGGAGCCCGCCCUGCGGGGUGUGACCAGGGAUCUCGGGGUGGCAACAAUCUCCCGGCAACGGCCGGUGCCGCUCCCCACGGUGUCCCCGGAGUCCCCGCGUGGGGACAUCUCUGGGCUCUGCCAAGCAUCCUGUCCCCUCGUGUCCUCCCGUGUCCCCAGGCUGUCCCUGUGCUCCCAGGACCGGGAUGCGGAUCCCCGGUUGUCUCUGUGUCCCCUCCUGUCCCCUCGCAGUCCCGGGAGCCGUUGUCUGUGCCGAGGCUGCUCCCCUCCCUCUCCAGCUCUGUGUCCCCAGGCCCAUCGUGUCCAUGUCCCCCCUGUCCCCCGUGUCCCCUCGCCCGAGCUCUACCCUUUGCCCGGCGUGUCCACUGCCCGGGUUGUUCUCUUGCCCACAGAUGUCCCCCUUCCCGUGAUGUCCCCCUUUCCUGGGAUGUCCCCUUUCCCGGGAAGUCCUCCGUUCCAGGGAAGUCCCUCUGCCUGGCACGUUCUCCUUUCCAGGGAAGGCUCCCUGCCCGCAGUAUCCCCUUUCCCGGGACGUUCCCCUUCCCAGGCAUGUCCCUCUGCCCGGGAUGUCCCUUUGCCCGGGGUGUCACCUUUCCCGGGACGUUCCUCUGCCCGGAAUGUCCCUCUGAGGAGCGUGUCCCAUCUCCAUGGCUGUCCCCCUGCUUGUGUGACACCGCCGUGGCUCUGCUGUCCCUCCGGGGCUGGGACGCCGUGGCCGAGGGACAACGGGACAGCGGGACAGGAGGACAGAGGGACAGCGGGACACGGGACAGGGGGAUAGCGGGACACGGGACAGGGGGCCAGCGGGACAUGGGGCCAGCCGCGCUGCUCUGA